CACCCCUAAGGAGAGCAGCCGUCUUCCUUCCUGUCCUGAGCAGGAAUAAACAAAGACUGCACAAACCCUUGCAGCGGGGUCGGGGCUGUUAUCUCCACCCCAGCCAUCCCCUCAUGUCAUGGCGCCUGCUGUUUCCACAACAUCUCCUGCUGAGAAGAUGACCCCAGGUAAAAUCUGAUCGAACAACAGUGGCUGCCUUCAUCAAGGGAGCCUGGAGAGCAAACAGCAGAAAAACAGUCAUCUGGCAACAUGUUGCAGGAAAAAGACAUUACAAAAGAAUAACGAGCUUGAGGACUGGGGAGAGGAGUUCACAUUUAUGGUGAGUCCGUGCAAGAAGACCCUCCGACAGGUACCUGUCACCCCCGCGGAGACACUGAUUGCAGCCUGUUCUGAAGCGUCACUGAAAUAGAAACCAAGUCAAAGCCGUGGCCUAGAAAGAGAGUCUGGGCAGAAUUCUGCAAGCAGAUUCUUUAUUUGACUCCUGGAAUAGACACAUGGAAAGAAGAUGGACACUGAAGGAAACUCAAAUCCAUGUGUGGCCAAAUGAACUCAGGGGAGUGCAACUUACUUACAAGGAGAGGGAGGAUGUACAGCAGGUCCUAGAAUAAUGUUGUUUCUUUCAAUAUCAUUUUGUUAUAAUGUUGAAAUCCA
Long non-coding RNA from Symphalangus syndactylus (siamang), 651 nucleotides. RefSeq lists it as uncharacterized. The record is from RefSeq and is a predicted model, not a curated record. NCBI's taxonomy places the organism in Eukaryota, Metazoa, Chordata, Mammalia, Primates, Hylobatidae.